RNAcentral lists this ribosomal RNA (403 nucleotides) under bacterium. Its description in RNAcentral is "partial 16S ribosomal RNA". It matches the Rfam family "Bacterial small subunit ribosomal RNA", at positions 355 to 776 of the family's 1533-position model. The record is from RNAcentral.
UGGGGAAUAUUGCACAAUGGGGGAAACCCUGAUGCAGCGACGCCGCGUGAACGAAGAAGGUAUUCGUAUCGUAAAGUUCUGUCCUAUGGGAAGAUAAUGACAGCACCAUAGAAGAAAGCUCCGGCUAAAUACGUGCCAGCAGCCGCGGUAAUACGUAUGGAGCGAGCGUUGUCCGGAAUUAUUGGGCGUAAAGGGUACGCAGGCGGUUUAAUAAAUCGAAUGUUAAAGAUCGGGGCUCAACCCCGCAAAGCAUUGGAAACUGAUAAACUUGAGUAGUGGAGAGGAAAGUGGAAUUCCUAGUGUAGUGGUGAAAUACGUAGAUAUUAGGAGGAGUACCAGUAGCGAAGGCGACUUUCUGGAAACAAACUGACGCUGAGGUACGAAAAAGUGGGGAGCAAACAGG